RNAcentral lists this long non-coding RNA (331 nucleotides) under Physcomitrium patens. RNAcentral's name for it is "long non-coding RNA (PPAT_LNC004772)". The record is from RNAcentral. Lineage: Eukaryota; Viridiplantae; Streptophyta; Bryopsida; Funariales; Funariaceae.
AUUGAGGUUUAAAUCUGUUGUAGGAAUUACUAGGAUUUGGUUUAGGGUUUGGUUAGGGUUUAGGAUUUGGAUUAGGGUUUGAUUAGGAUUUGAAUUAGGAUUUGGUUUAGGAUUUGAUUGGGGUUUGGUUUAAGGUUUAUUUAGGGUUUGAUUUAGGAUUUAGGAUUUUAUUAGGAUUUUAUUAGGAUUUAAGAUUCAAUUAGUUUUGGCCUAAAGUUUGAAUGAAGUUCAAUAGAAUUUUAACUAGAAUUAAAUUAAGAUUGAAUUGAGAUGUAUUUGAGUGAUAUUUGUGAUUCUUUUAAUAUUUCUUUAAGAAUUCUUAUUAUUUUUU